UACGUAGGGUGCGAGCGUUAAUCGGAAUUACUGGGCGUAAAGUGUGCGCAGGCGGCCGAGCAAGUCGAGUGUGAAAGCCCCGGGCUUAACUUGGGAAUUGCGCUCGAAACUACUUGGCUGGAGUGUGGCAGAGGAAGGUGGAAUUCCAGGUGUAGCGGUGAAAUGCGUAGAGAUCUGGAGGAACACCGAUGGCGAAGGCAGCACUCUGGGACGUGACUGACGCUGAGACGCGAAAGCGUGGGGAGCAAACAGG
RNAcentral lists this ribosomal RNA (253 nucleotides) under uncultured bacterium. Its description in RNAcentral is "partial 16S ribosomal RNA". It matches the Rfam family "Bacterial small subunit ribosomal RNA", at positions 524 to 776 of the family's 1533-position model. The record is from RNAcentral.